AGCCUGGUGGUGUAGUGGUAACACACCUGCUUUGUAUUAGCCACCAGUUGUGAAAGACUUUAGCAGAGGAUCCUUGUUUGACUUGAGGUCAGGCUA
Molecule: non-coding RNA, 96 nt
Organism: Mycena latifolia
Lineage: Eukaryota; Fungi; Basidiomycota; Agaricomycetes; Agaricales; Mycenaceae
Source: the annotation of a GenBank genome assembly